CCUACGGGAGGCAGCAGUGGGGAAUAUUGGGCAAUGGGCGCAAGCCUGACCCAGCAACGCCGCGUGAAGGAAGAAGGCUUUCGGGUUGUAACCUUCUUUUCUCAGGGACGAAGAAAGUGACGGUACCUGAGGAAUAAGCCACGGCUAACUACGUGCCAGCAGCCGCGGUAAUACGUAGGUGGCAAGCGUUAUCCGGAUUUAUUGGGUGUAAAGGGCGUGUAGGCGGGAGCGCAAGUCAGAUGUGAAAACUCAGGGCUCAACCCUGAGCCUGCAUUUGAAACUGUGUUUCUUGAGUGCUGGAGAGGCUAUCGGAAUUCCUUGUGUAGCGGUGAAAUGCGUAGAGAUAAGGAGGAACACCAGUGGCGAAGGCGGUCUGCUGGACAGCAACUGACGGUGAGGCGCGAAAGCGUGGGGAGCAAACAGGAUUAGAUACCCGUGUAGUC
This 443-nucleotide ribosomal RNA is filed under the name uncultured bacterium. Its description in RNAcentral is "partial 16S ribosomal RNA". It matches the Rfam family "Bacterial small subunit ribosomal RNA", at positions 338 to 795 of the family's 1533-position model. The record is from RNAcentral.